Molecule: long non-coding RNA, 281 nt
Organism: Leopardus geoffroyi (Geoffroy's cat)
Lineage: Eukaryota; Metazoa; Chordata; Mammalia; Carnivora; Felidae
Exons: 3
Source: RefSeq, a predicted model, not a curated record
GAGGAGGAGGUAAGGAGGAUGACCCAUCAGCAAAGGAGUAACGACAGUUUGCUCUUGCAAAGGCUUUGGCAGUAGAGAAGAUAUGAAAGGGAAAGAACAAUCCUUUCCAAUGCCAAAGAAAAAUGGGCUCUUCUGGAAUUCUUGAGAGACUGAUUAUACAUUGAUCUCCACAGAGGAAACUCCCUAGGGGAUUUUCAAAGGCAGCAAAGAAAUGUCAUAUGAACACAUUCUGAAAAGGAGGCCAGAACUGGACUAUCCUGGAGCCCUGAUUUCAGACAUCC